UUGAUGAUGUUUAUGUGUGUAAUUUAAUUACAUAAGCACUCGUCAAAUUUUGGGCGAAAAUGAGCUAAAAUGGAGAAGAUACGCGACUUUUACUUUUCACUUAAGUGAAUAGUAACUCCGGUUUUCCGGAGAAGCCACGGAGUAGAGUUGGCUUCUGGCACGUAUCGGACUCCGUUCAUAUCAGUCCAAUAGCUCGUUUCGACCGGUUCAGCUGUUUUGGAACCAAUGGCACUGACGGAAUUGGAUUUGGAUGCACAGAUUUCGAGAAAAAGGGGUUUAAUGGUUUUAGCAUAUAGUCGUCUAUAUGCGGGUUUUGGUGGAAUCUUGGAGGGAUGGUUUUGUCGCAAAUCGGAAACCUUUUCGGGCGAAACGAAAUGCUAGAUUCGAUGCCCCAGUCGUGCUUAUCGCGCUGGCGCAAUCCGUUCGGAAAUCCGACGGACGGAUCUUCGGGAAUCGCGAAAGGUCCGCGAAGGGGCUGAUUUGACAAAACGGAUAAAUCGCGAAGAAGCCCAUUAUUUUAUGCACCGUUUUGCGAGUUUUCGAACUCGGAGGGACUGUCGUGCAAGGUGUACCAACUGGUAGGGAGCUGGGUCGAAAUUGAUCAACUUCGGGGGUUUUUCCGCAAAGUUUACUCUACCUACAUAUAGGAAGAUCUAGGGUUUCGAGGUGAAACCCUAACCCUAAUCCGCCCCCAGCUGACCUAGAGCACCCUAGCCGCCCCAGCUGAACCCUGCCCUGUCUGUGCGCGCGCCCCGGCCGCCGGCGUGCUGCUCCGGCCACCGGAAACCCUCCUGCAACCUUCCCGGUCCACCCUCUCGGCCACCCUUUCCUCCUCCUUGGCCGAGAGCAGGUGGGGCAACUCCACCACCUCUGGAAGGGAAGCCCCGGCCGUGAUCCACCUCCAGCACGUUGUUCCCCCGGCUCCGGCCAUCCCCGGACACCGCCGGAGCCGCCUGAGGGAGCUGCGGCCAGCCCGGG
RNAcentral lists this long non-coding RNA (978 nucleotides) under Ananas comosus (pineapple). RNAcentral's name for it is "long non-coding RNA (ACOM_LNC015192)". The record is from RNAcentral. Lineage: Eukaryota; Viridiplantae; Streptophyta; Magnoliopsida; Poales; Bromeliaceae.